UACGUAGGUGGCAAGCGUUGUCCGGAUUUACUGGGCGUAAAGCGUAUGCAGGCGGAUACUUAAGUAGGAAGUGAAAGGUGGGAGCUCAACUCCCACAUUGCUCCCUACACUGGGUGUCUUGAGUGGCGGAGAGGGAGAGGGAACGACACGUGUAGCGGUGAAAUGCGUUGAUAUGUGUCGGAACACCAAUGGCGAAAGCACUCUCCUGGACGCAAACUGACGCUGAGAUACGAAAGCCAAGGUAGCAAACAGG
Molecule: ribosomal RNA, 253 nt
Filed under: uncultured bacterium
Lineage: Bacteria
Description: partial 16S ribosomal RNA
Rfam family: Bacterial small subunit ribosomal RNA
Source: RNAcentral